GACGAACGCUGGCGGCGUGCUUAACACAUGCAAGUCGAACGGAAAGUCCCUUCUUUUGUGGGGUGCUCUAGUUUCGAACGUGUUAGUAACACUUUAGUAACCUGCCCUUGACUUUGUGAUAACUUCAGUAAACUUGUGCUAAUACCUGAUAGGAUCUCCUACUGCUUGGUGGGGGUUGGAAAUUUUCGGCGGUUGGGGAUUGACUCGCGGCUUAUCAGCUUGUUGGUGGGGUAGUGGCUUACCAAGGCUUUGACGGGUAGCCGGCCUGAUAGGGUGACCAGUCAGAUGGGGACUGAGAUACGGCCAAGACUCCUAAGGGAGGAAGCAGUGGGGAAUAUUGAAAAAUGGGCGGAAGACUGAUGCAGAAACGACGAGUGAGGGAUGACGGACAUCGGGUUGUAAACCGCUUUGGCCUGUGACGAAGCGUGAGUGAAGGUAAUGGGUAAAGAAGCACCGGCUAAGUACGUG
This 468-nucleotide ribosomal RNA is filed under the name uncultured bacterium. Its description in RNAcentral is "partial 16S ribosomal RNA". It matches the Rfam family "Bacterial small subunit ribosomal RNA", at positions 28 to 507 of the family's 1533-position model. The record is from RNAcentral.